UACGUAGGGGGCAAGCGUUAUCCGGAUUUACUGGGUGUAAAGGGAGCGUAGACGGCGUCGCAAGUCUGAAGUGAAAGCCCGUGGCUCAACCGCGGAACCGCUUUGGAAACUGCGAGGCUGGAGUGCUGGAGAGGUAAGCGGAAUUCGUGGUGUAGCGGUGAAAUGCAUAGAUAUCACGCAGAACUCCGAUUGCGAAGGCAGCAUACCGGCGCCCAACUGACGCUGAGGCACGAAAGCGUGGGUAUCGAACAGG
RNAcentral lists this ribosomal RNA (253 nucleotides) under uncultured Lachnospiraceae bacterium. RNAcentral describes it as "partial 16S ribosomal RNA". It matches the Rfam family "Bacterial small subunit ribosomal RNA", at positions 524 to 776 of the family's 1533-position model. Lineage: Bacteria; Bacillati; Bacillota; Clostridia; Lachnospirales; Lachnospiraceae. The record is from RNAcentral.